AUAUCAAUAAGCGGAGGAAAAGAAACCAACCGGGAUUGCCUUAGUAACGGCGAGUGAAGCGGCAAAAGCUCAAAUUUGAAAUCUGGCUCUAUUUUGGGGUCCGAAUUGUAAUUUGAAGAAGCGACUUUGGACCUGGCUCUUGUCUAUGUUCCUUGGAACAGGACGUCACAGAGGGUGAGAAUCCCGUGCGAUGAGAAGCCCAGGUUCGUGUAAAGCGUUUUCGACGAGUCGAGUUGUUUGGGAAUGCAGCUCUAAGUGGGUGGUAAAUUCCAUCUAAAGCUAAAUAUUGGCGAGAGACCGAUAGCGAACAAGUACAGUGAUGGAAAGAUGAAAAGAACUUUGAAAAGAGAGUGAAAAAGUACGUGAAAUUGUUGAAAGGGAAGGGCUUGAGAUCAGACUUUGUUUUUCCAUGGCGCUCUUUCGGGGGUGUCCUCUGGGUCUACAGGGCCAGCAUGGGUUUUGCGGGCGAGACAAGGACUCAGGAAUGUGGCUCUGCUUCGGUGGAGUGUUAUAGCCUGGGGUACUGGUCGCCAUGCGGGACCGAGGACUGCGGUACUAGGAUGCUGGC
RNAcentral lists this ribosomal RNA (568 nucleotides) under Suhomyces anneliseae. Its description in RNAcentral is "eukaryotic LSU rRNA". It matches the Rfam family "Eukaryotic large subunit ribosomal RNA", at positions 40 to 629 of the family's 3401-position model. Lineage: Eukaryota; Fungi; Ascomycota; Pichiomycetes; Serinales; Debaryomycetaceae. The record is from RNAcentral.